GUAGGCCCUGCCAUGCCCAGGCUCCUGUGAGACUCUCAACACAGUCCCACAAAACAUCUCCAGAUUGGAGAGCCCUGGCUUAGAAGGCUGGGCUAUUUGUUGCAUGAGGUGUUGCCCAGACGGAUGCAGACAGAGGGUUCUGCGGGUGGGAUCAAGCAUACCCCCAGCACCUCUGCAACUGACCGAGACUGAGCUGGACAGGUGACACAAGCAAAGGAAGGGACCAUCCAGAGGGACCUGGACAAGCUUGAGAAGUGGGACGACAAGAACCCAGUGAGGUUCAACAAGUUCAAGGGCCUGCCUUCGGGACCGGGCAAUUCAAGAAUCACCAAGCUUUUCAGAUCUUCCAGUCCAGCUGUUAACCCAGCACCACCACAAUCACCCCUAACACAUAUCCCUAAGUGCGACAUCCAGAGUCCUCAGAAUUUGCAUUUUUUCAUGACAAACCUUUUCCUUGCCAGAAGGAUCUUUAGUGUUAGUCACUUUCUUAGCCUGUAAAUAAGAAAUCAUCAGAUUCAAUUAAAUGUAUCUAUGCUGGUGCAGUAUUAGCCACAAA
Long non-coding RNA from Passer domesticus (house sparrow), 556 nucleotides. RefSeq lists it as uncharacterized. NCBI's taxonomy places the organism in Eukaryota, Metazoa, Chordata, Aves, Passeriformes, Passeridae. The record is from RefSeq and is a predicted model, not a curated record. The transcript has 2 exons.